AACUGCCACCGUCUCAGCCUGAAGGCGCCCGAUCUCGUCUGAUCUCGGAAGCUAAGUAGGGUCGGGCCUGGUUAGUAUCUUGGAUGGGGAGACCACCUGGGAGUCCCGGGUGCUCGAGGCUU
Molecule: ribosomal RNA, 122 nt
Filed under: Bison bison bison
Lineage: Eukaryota; Metazoa; Chordata; Mammalia; Artiodactyla; Bovidae
Source: RNAcentral